Molecule: ribosomal RNA, 357 nt
Filed under: uncultured bacterium
Lineage: Bacteria
Description: bacterial SSU rRNA
Rfam family: Bacterial small subunit ribosomal RNA
Source: RNAcentral
AGAGUUUGAUCAUGGCUCGGGAUGAACGCUAGCUACAGGCUUAACACAUGCAAGUCGAGGGGAAACGACAUCGAAAGCUUGCUUUUGAUGGGCGUCGACCGGCGCACGGGUGAGUAACGCGUAUCCAACCUGCCCACCACUUGGGGAUAACCUUGCGAAAGUAAGACUAAUACCCAAUGACGUCUCUAGAAGACAUCUGAAAGAGAUUAAAGAUUUAUCGGUGAUGGAUGGGGAUGGCGUCUGAUUAGCUUGUUGGCGGGGUAACGGCCGACCAAGGCGACGGAUCAGUAGGGGUUCUGGAGAGGAAGGUCCCCCACGAUUGGAACUGAGACACGGUCCAAACUCCUACGGGAGGCA